GACGAACGCUGGCGGCGUGCUUAACACAUGCAAGUCGAACGGACAGGCCCUGCUUUUGUGGGGCGCUCGAGUGGCGAACGGGUGAGUAAAACGUGAGUAACCUGCACCUGAAUUUGGGAUAAAUCUAGGAAACUGGGGCUAAUACCGGAUAGGAGCUCUUGCUGCAUGGUGGGGGUUGGAAAGUUUCGGCGGUUGGGGAUGGACUCGCGGCUUAUCAGCUUGUUGGUGGGGUAGUGGCUUACCAAGGCUUUGACGGGUAGCCGGCCUGAGAGGGGGACCGGCCACAAUGGGACUGAGAUACGGCCCAGACUCCUACGGGAGGCAGCGGUGGGGAAUAUUGCACAAUGGGCGGAAGCCUGAUGCAGCGACGCCGCGUGCGGGAUGACGUCCUUCGGGUUGUAAACCGCUUUCGCCUGUGACGAAGCGUGAGUGACGGUAAUGGGUAAAGAAGCACCGGCUAACUACGUG
This 468-nucleotide ribosomal RNA is filed under the name uncultured bacterium. RNAcentral describes it as "partial 16S ribosomal RNA". It matches the Rfam family "Bacterial small subunit ribosomal RNA", at positions 28 to 507 of the family's 1533-position model. The record is from RNAcentral.